GAUGAACGCUGGCGGCGUGCUUAACACAUGCAAGUCGAACGGUGAAGCAGAGCUUGCUCUGUGGAUCAGUGGCGAACGGGUGAGUAACACGUGAGCAACCUGCCCCUGACUCUGGGAUAAGCGCUGGAAACGGCGUCUAAUACUGGAUAUGAGCUGCGACCGCAUGGUCAGCAGUUGGAAAGAUUUUUCGGUCUGGGAUGGGCUCACGGCCUAUCAGCUUGUUGGUGAGGUAAUGGCUCACCAAGGCGUCGACGGGUAGCCGGCCUGAGAGGGUGACCGGCCACACUGGGACUGAGACACGGCCCAGACUCCUACGGGAGGCAGCAGUGGGGAAUAUUGCACAAUGGGCGAAAGCCUGAUGCAGCAACGCCGCGUGAGGGAUGAAGGCCUUCGGGUUGUAAACCUCUUUUAGCAGGGAAGAAGCGAAAGUGACGGUACCUGCAGAAAAAGCGCCGGCUAACUACGUG
This 467-nucleotide ribosomal RNA is filed under the name uncultured bacterium. RNAcentral's name for it is "partial 16S ribosomal RNA". It matches the Rfam family "Bacterial small subunit ribosomal RNA", at positions 28 to 507 of the family's 1533-position model. The record is from RNAcentral.